CCUACGGGGGGCAGCAGUGGGGAAUAUUGGGCAAUGGAGGCAACUCUGACCCAGCAACGCCGCGUGAAUGAUGAAGGUCUUCGGAUUGUAAAGUUCUGUGAUGGGGGGUGAACACAAUGACGGUACCCCAAUAGCAAGCCACGGCUAACUACGUGCCAGCAGCCGCGGUAAUACGUAGGUGGCAAGCGUUAUCCGGAAUGACUGGGCGUAAAGGGUGCGUAGGUGGUUUAGUAAGUUGGCGGUGUAAUUCAGGGGCGAAACCUCGGCGCUACCGCCGAAACUGGUAGAGUGGAGUGCAGGAAGGGAAAGGGGAAGUGAUGGUGUAGAGGUGGAAGGCGUAGAUAGUAGGAAGAACAUCAGGGGCGAAGGCGAGUGACUGGAGUGUAACUGACGCUGAGGCACGAAAGCGUGGGGAGCAAACAGGAUGAGAUACCCCAGUAGUC
RNAcentral lists this ribosomal RNA (443 nucleotides) under uncultured bacterium. RNAcentral's name for it is "partial 16S ribosomal RNA". It matches the Rfam family "Bacterial small subunit ribosomal RNA", at positions 338 to 795 of the family's 1533-position model. The record is from RNAcentral.